Molecule: transfer RNA, 82 nt
Filed under: Telmatocola sphagniphila
Lineage: Bacteria; Pseudomonadati; Planctomycetota; Planctomycetia; Gemmatales; Gemmataceae
Rfam family: tRNA
About the family: Transfer RNA (tRNA) molecules are approximately 80 nucleotides in length. Their secondary structure includes four short double-helical elements and three loops (D, anti-codon, and T loops). Further hydrogen bonds mediate the characteristic L-shaped molecular structure. tRNAs have two regions of fundamental functional importance: the anti-codon, which is responsible for specific mRNA codon recognition, and the 3' end, to which the tRNAs corresponding amino acid is attached (by aminoacyl-tRNA synthetases). tRNAs cope with the degeneracy of the genetic code in two manners: having more than one tRNA (with a specific anti-codon) for a particular amino acid; and 'wobble' base-pairing, i.e. permitting non-standard base-pairing at the 3rd anti-codon position.
Source: Rfam by way of RNAcentral
GGCCUAGUGGCGGAAUGGCAGACGCGCUCGAUUCAAAAUCGAGUACCCAAAAGGUGUGUGGGUUCGAGUCCCUCCUGGGCCA